UGGGGAAUAUUGCACAAUGGGCGAAAGCCUGAUGCAGCGACGCCGCGUGAGGGAUGACGGCCUUCGGGUUGUAAACCUCUUUCAGCAGGGAAGAAGCGAAAGUGACGGUACCUGCAGAAGAAGCGCCGGCUAACUACGUGCCAGCAGCCGCGGUAAUACGUAGGGCGCAAGCGUUGUCCGGAAUUAUUGGGCGUAAAGAGCUCGUAGGCGGUUAGUCGCGUCUGCUGUGAAAACUCGAGGCUCAACCUCGGGCUUGCAGUGGGUACGGGCUGACUAGAGUGCGGUAGGGGUGACUGGAAUUCCUGGUGUAGCGGUGGAAUGCGCAGAUAUCAGGAGGAACACCGAUGGCGAAGGCAGGUCACUGGGCCGCAACUGACGCUGAGGCGCGAAAGCAUGGGGAGCGAACAGGAUUAGAUACCCUGGUAGUCCAUGCCGUAAACGUUGGGCACUAGGUGUGGGGUCCAUUUCCACGGAUUCCGUGCCGCAGCAAACGCAUUAAGUGCCCCGCCUGGGGAGUACGGCCGCAA
RNAcentral lists this ribosomal RNA (527 nucleotides) under uncultured bacterium. RNAcentral describes it as "partial 16S ribosomal RNA". It matches the Rfam family "Bacterial small subunit ribosomal RNA", at positions 355 to 891 of the family's 1533-position model. The record is from RNAcentral.